GCCUGGCUAUCUCAGUUGGUAGGGCAUGGGACUCUUGAUCUCAGGGUCAUGGGUUUGAGCCCCACGCCAGGCA
Non-coding RNA from Pangasianodon hypophthalmus (striped catfish), 73 nucleotides. The record is from the annotation of a RefSeq genome assembly. NCBI's taxonomy places the organism in Eukaryota, Metazoa, Chordata, Actinopteri, Siluriformes, Pangasiidae.